This is a non-coding RNA of Vicia faba (fava bean), 255 nucleotides long. Lineage: Eukaryota; Viridiplantae; Streptophyta; Magnoliopsida; Fabales; Fabaceae. The record is from the annotation of a GenBank genome assembly.
AUGCCGUGGCAGAGCCAGUCUUCAGCAAGUGGUGGAGCUAGCGGUGGUUGGAACAAUGAUGGGCCAGGACAGGGGACAGAGGAUAAAGGCGGUGCUGGCUGGGCAAAGGGAACGGAUUCCGGUGCUGGCUGGGCAAAGGGAACCGAAUCUGCUCCAGAUAAGGGUCAAUCGUCUAGUUGGAAUGAUUCUGCAGCAAAUGGUGCUGCAGGUUCGUGGGGCAAGAAAAACGACGGUGGUAGCAAAGGUGGAUGGUAA